CAUGAGAUAGAAAUUUGGGGGAAAGAAGCAUAAAAUAGUGCGCUGGAAUCUGAGCCACUCAGCUCAGCCGAGCAGAGCCAAGUAGUUGCUAGAAGCAGGUUGCCAACCAGUCCAGCUGAGUCAAACAGUCGAGUCGAGCUGAACAACCCAGCUGAACUUGACAUCAGCAAUCCCUAACUAGACAGCAGUGACCCCCUUCUCUCGCACAUACCUACUCAUGCUCCAUUGAACAUCCCUGAGGUAAGUCC
RNAcentral lists this long non-coding RNA (248 nucleotides) under Prunus persica (peach). Its description in RNAcentral is "long non-coding RNA (PPER_LNC008567)". Lineage: Eukaryota; Viridiplantae; Streptophyta; Magnoliopsida; Rosales; Rosaceae. The record is from RNAcentral.